AAUACUACAGUAGUAUGGCCCCUGUUAUAGGUAAUAAAUGAGCUUUACCAUCACUGAUAAACAAAAUGCUAAUAACCAUCUACAGACAGAAGCAGACAAAAUCACAGGCAGUCAGGUGUAGUGGGGUGGAGCACCAAACAUUGGUUGGAAGUAAAGAAUGAGAAACUUUAGAGAUACAUUCAUAAAUACGGACAAUCCAAAACAAUCUGUUGUAGUGACAAAAGAAAAGGCUCAAAUUUCAAAGGCUUAAAAGACUAAUUUUAAUUACCUGCGGACCAGGGUAACCACCAA
RNAcentral lists this unclassified non-coding RNA (291 nucleotides) under Hevea brasiliensis (rubber tree). Lineage: Eukaryota; Viridiplantae; Streptophyta; Magnoliopsida; Malpighiales; Euphorbiaceae. The record is from RNAcentral.